UGGGUGGUCCCGGAUUUUUAACUCCCAACCCCUGUGACAUACCUUACUGUUGCCUCGGCGGAUCAGCCCGCUCCCGGUAAAACGGGACGGCCCGCCAGAGGACCCCUAAACUCUGUUUCUAUAUGUAACUUCUGAGUAAAACCAUAAAUAAAUCAAAACUUUCAACAACGGAUCUCUUGGUUCUGGCAUCGAUGAAGAACGCAGCAAAAUGCGAUAAGUAAUGUGAAUUGCAGAAUUCAGUGAAUCAUCGAAUCUUUGAACGCACAUUGCGCCCGCCAGUAUUCUGGCGGGCAUGCCUGUUCGAGCGUCAUUUCAACCCUCAAGCCCUCGGGUUUGGUGUUGGGGAUCGGCGAGCCUUUCUGGCAAGCCGGCCCCGAAAUCUAGUGGCGGUCUCGCUGCAGCCUCCAUUGCGUAGUAGUAAAACCCUCGCAACUGGAACGCGGCGCGGCCAAGCCGUUAAACCCCCAACUUCUGAAUGUUGACCUCGGAUCAGGUAGGAAUACCCGCUGAACUUAAGCAUAGGGGAUAAGCGGAGAAAU
RNAcentral lists this ribosomal RNA (539 nucleotides) under Fusarium redolens. Its description in RNAcentral is "eukaryotic LSU rRNA". The stretch from base 157 to 310 matches the Rfam family "5.8S ribosomal RNA". Lineage: Eukaryota; Fungi; Ascomycota; Sordariomycetes; Hypocreales; Nectriaceae. The record is from RNAcentral.